RNAcentral lists this small RNA (99 nucleotides) under Oscheius tipulae. The record is from RNAcentral. Lineage: Eukaryota; Metazoa; Nematoda; Chromadorea; Rhabditida; Rhabditidae.
GGUUUAAUUACCCAAGUUUGAGGUAUUCAAUGCUUCCGACCCUGCAAAUGUAGAGGUUGAAAGAAAUUUUGGAACAGCCUUCCCUCCACUGGGAAGGCA